CCCUUAGAUGUUCUGGGCCGCACGCGCGCUACACUGACUGGUGCAACAAGUGUCGCUCCUUGGCCGAUAGGCCUGGGCAAUCUUUGAACGCCAGUCGUGAUGGGGAUAGAUUCUUGCAAUUUUUGAUCUUCAACGAGGAAUUCCUAGUAAACGCGAGUCAUCAACUCGCAUUGAUUACGUCCCUGCCCUUUGUACACACCGCCCGUCGCACCUACCGAUUGAAUGGUCCGGUGAAAUCUCCGGACUGGCGUGAGUCGGAGCAAUCUGACAAACGCCGGAAAGUUGAUUAAACCUUACCAUUUAGAGGAAGGUGAAGUCGUAACA
RNAcentral lists this ribosomal RNA (324 nucleotides) under uncultured eukaryote. RNAcentral describes it as "partial 18S ribosomal RNA". It matches the Rfam family "Eukaryotic small subunit ribosomal RNA", at positions 1470 to 1796 of the family's 1831-position model. The record is from RNAcentral.